UUCAGUUCCUGUUUCCUAUCUGUUGUUCCCAAAUUAUGUACACCUGUGUCUUAAUUUACACUUUGUGUAUAUAACCAUGUGUUUCCUUGUGCUUUGUGGGCCUUUUCACAAGCCAUGGUGAUAAUGUUGUGUAGCUCAAUUCUGAUUUCCGUGUUUCAUCUGCAUUUGGAUCCUGCUGUCCCUAAUGUCUGAGUUUGCCCACAUUCCAAAAAUAUGCUUAUUUAAUGUACAUGUUUUUCAGCUCGUCUGCCUGUUCCUGUCAUCACCAGUAACUCUUCAAACUGUUCUUCAUCAUCAUCAUCUGAAAGAUCAUCAGUGUCUAAAUGUUCACUGCUGUGUUCAGUGUUGAAUGUGAGUGAUGUGACUCUCUCCUGGUACAAAGGAAACGGUUUAUUGUCCAGCAUCAGUGUGUCUGAUCUCAGCAUCAGUCUCUCUCUACCUCUGGAGGUGGAAUAUCAGGAUAAAAACACCUACAGCUGUGUGCUCAACAAUCCCAUCAGCAACCAGACCAGACAUCUGGACAUCAGUCAGCUCUGUCAGACAUGUACAGGUAGCGCUCAUCAGUGAUCUGUCUUUUAAUGUAACAAUGUAAAGGUAUGUCCACAUAGGUGUUUUUUUUACUAAGCUAAAUAGCUUUUUUUGAUACUUUGGUACUUUUACAUAUAAAACAGUACUUUAGUUCAGACCAUUUUUGUUAAUUAUACCAACAGCUUACAGUAGUGUGGUAGGGUAGUGCAAGAUAAAAAAUUAAGGCAUGACCGCAUAUUUAUAUACUGGAAGUCAAAAUGAAAAUGUAUUUAAAGGGUAUUCUGUACAAUGAAUGUAAAUUCAAUUCCUUUUCUGCCUUCAUAUCACUGCUGUUCCAUAAAUAGUAUUUCUAUUUCUUCUUUAAAGGCACAGGUGAAUGAUAAUUGUUGUUUUUCCUUUCAAUUUCAGAUUGCAAUUCACCAUGGCUUGUUGCAGCAUUAACAUUUGCGGUAGUACUGGCUAUGCUAGCAAUUGUGAUGGGCUGUCUUUACAGGAAAUACAGAACAUCAAGGCCAAAAGUGAAUUAUUUUGAACCAUCUGCACAUGCAGCUGAAACGGUUCAGACAGACGACAGUGAGCUAGCUUAUGCCGAAACAACAUUUUUACCUAAUGUUCAAAACAAGAAGCCUAGGACAGAAGAGACCAUAUACUCCACCGUCAAUGGACACUGAUCGAACAUGCAGCAGUCUCUCAUUUCACCACAAUGGCUUUGCACACCUGCAUCUGUCAGCAUUACAACACUUGAUUGAGGAGAGAGAACCCUGAUUUGCUCUUGAUUUUCUUUGCUUUUAACAUAAAAGGAAACGUUUUAAAGAACUUUGGGGUCCAAACAACAUUGGGCCACAUUCACUCUUACCGUGUAAAAAAUAUUGUAUAAAGACAUUUUUCAAAAUAUCUUCGUCAUAUCAUACAGGCUUGGUAUGACAUGAUGGUGAGUAAAUGAUGACAAUAAGUUGAUCGAAUUUUGUGGCAGAACCAGCAUGUCUAAUAUAUAGGAAAUAAAAGACUGAAGAACUAGUUCAACAUUGGCCGGGUUUUUUAUUUAUUUUUUAUUUUUUUGCAUAUCCAAAUUCCCCUCUAACAAAUCUACAUUCUGCAUGGAGGUGACACGGCAGAGUUAAAAUGACCAUUAAAAAAAAUGACAAAGAGAGCGAUUACUUCAUUAUUGUACGAAAGUGCAGUAUGUGAUUAAGAUCAGAAACUUCAUGAAUGUCAUGUUUAUGUUCUCUCAGCUAGUCUGAUACUAAAAAAACUGGCAGUUAUUCAUGUCCUCAGGGUUCUUAUGUAAAGCCACAAGACUCCACCCCAACCCCUGCUAUCCUUCCC
This 1854-nucleotide long non-coding RNA is filed under the name Sinocyclocheilus grahami. Its description in RNAcentral is "lncRNA (ENSSGRG00000025732.1)". The record is from RNAcentral. Lineage: Eukaryota; Metazoa; Chordata; Actinopteri; Cypriniformes; Cyprinidae.